AUUCUAUAAUUGUUUUAUUUUAUUGUUGGUCAAUAUUACAACACAUGUGUACAUUAUAUUGUCAGAAGAAUAACAAAAAAUUGCAGAACAAACUUAAAUCCCAAAUGUAAUGGACAGAAAUAUUUCUAAACAUAAAAAAAAUUUUAAACAUAAAAUCACAUACGAAACAUAGAUAUGUAUCAUUGUUUUUAUAGAUUUAAUACAACGGAAAUACAUUAUGUGGCUAAAAUAUUAAUUUCCAAUAACAUCCCUGUACUAACAGCAUUAUGAACCUUGAACUGAUCAAGGUUCGACUCUAAUUUGAAACAAGGAUACCAAGAUCUGCUUUUAAUGAUUUCUAGUCUUAUUUGUCUGAAGAGUUCCACACUAGUUUAAAACAAAAAAUUAGUAACCUACAAUCUAUUUGUGAGAACCAUCAUUUUCUAAUUUUGUUGAAACAAAAGACAAGAUAUAGUGGCAGGCUUGACACACCAGAUAGUAGGACUCUGCUUAUCAUUACAAUAGUGCAUCCCUGUGUAAGUACUUACGCCUUAAAUUUUAUAGUUAAUAUGUCUGUAUUUUAUUAUAGUUUUUUUUACUUUAAAAAUAAAAAUAACGCUAAAUAUAGUAUAGGGCUAUAUUAUUAUUAUUUUUCACUUAAACGAAUAAGGCAGUGGUUCCCAAACUUUUUUGGCGCGUAGACCCCUCGUCAUGUUUUCCAGUAUUCUGUAGACCCCCUGGUUAGCUAAUAUUGCUGAAUUGUAAUUUUUCUGAUUUAUGUACUACCAAUGUGCUUUCUUUUUCCAAUCAUUCCUAACGUAUUUAAGGUGAAGAAUGAAAAAGUAAUAACAACCACAUGCAUGGGCGUUGCUAAGAAGGGGUUGGGGUAUAAAAAUCCGAAAAACCGAAAUAAAUCCUGGCUACGCCUAUGGCCACAUGUAAGUAAACUUAAAUGAAUUUAUGAAACAAGUCCUUUAAAUAAGCAAUGUCUGAUUUCAGUCUGAUUAAAUUUCAAUUUAAAAUUAGAUCUUUGACAUCCAAGAGCUCCGAUACAAAGUCAAAAAGAAAAAAAUAAAUAAAAUAAAGCUUUUCGACAGCCAUCAAACUUCAUAUUGAAGGACGAACUGAUGGCGUAUUGAACAUGUU
Molecule: non-coding RNA, 1125 nt
Organism: Biomphalaria pfeifferi
Lineage: Eukaryota; Metazoa; Mollusca; Gastropoda; Planorbidae
Source: the annotation of a GenBank genome assembly